RNAcentral lists this ribosomal RNA (1055 nucleotides) under Helicobacter cinaedi. RNAcentral describes it as "bacterial SSU rRNA". It matches the Rfam family "Bacterial small subunit ribosomal RNA", at positions 61 to 1130 of the family's 1533-position model. The record is from RNAcentral. Lineage: Bacteria; Pseudomonadati; Campylobacterota; Epsilonproteobacteria; Campylobacterales; Helicobacteraceae.
GUCGAACGAUGAAGCUUUUAGCUUGCUAGAAGUGGAUUAGUGGCGCACGGGUGAGGAAAGCAUAGGUUAUGUGCCCUUUAGUCUGGGAUAGCCACUGGAAACGGUGAUUAAUACUGGAUACUCCCUACGGGGGAAAGGUUUUUCGCUAAAGGAUCAGCCUAUGUCCUAUCAGCUUGUUGGUGAGGUAAUGGCUCACCAAGGCUAUGACGGGUAUCCGGCCUGAGAGGGUGAUCGGACACACUGGAACUGAGACACGGUCCAGACUCCUACGGGAGGCAGCAGUAGGGAAUAUUGCUCAAUGGGGGAAACCCUGAAGCAGCAACGCCGCGUGGAGGAUGAAGGUUUUAGGAUUGUAAACUCCUUUUGUAAGAGAAGAUUAUGACGGUAUCUUACGAAUAAGCACCGGCUAACUCCGUGCCAGCAGCCGCGGUAAUACGGAGGGUGUAAGCGUUACUCGGAAUCACUGGGCGUAAAGAGUGCGUAGGCGGGUAGUCAAGUCAGAUGUGAAAUCCUGUAGCUUAACUACAGAACUGCAUUUGAAACUGACUAUCUAGAGUAUGGGAGAGGUAGGUGGAAUUCUUGGUGUAGGGGUAAAAUCCGUAGAGAUCAAGAGGAAUACUCAUUGCGAAGGCGACCUGCUGGAACAUUACUGACGCUGAUGCGCGAAAGCGUGGGGAGCAAACAGGAUUAGAUACCCUGGUAGUCCACGCCCUAAACGAUGAAUGCUAGUUGUUGCCCUGCUUGUCAGGGCAGUAAUGCAGCUAACGCAUUAAGCAUUCCGCCUGGGGAGUACGGUCGCAAGAUUAAAACUCAAAGGAAUAGACGGGGACCCCGCACAAGGCGGUGGAGCAUGUGGUUUAAUUCGAAGCUACGCGAAGAACCUUACCUAGGCUUGACAUUGAUAGAAAUCUGCUAGAGCAUAGCGKAGUGCUGGGCUUUGCCCAGAGCUUUGAMAACAGGUGCCUGCACGGCUGUCGUCAGCUCGUGUCGUGAGAUGUUUGGGUUAGUCCGCAUCGAAGCGCAAGCAUCGUUCGUUUAGUUGUUAGCAGAUUCGG